This 3906-nucleotide long non-coding RNA is filed under the name Citrus x clementina. Its description in RNAcentral is "Citrus clementina (C. clementina) long non-coding RNA (CCLE_LNC006050)". The record is from RNAcentral. Lineage: Eukaryota; Viridiplantae; Streptophyta; Magnoliopsida; Sapindales; Rutaceae.
ACACAGAGGCCGCCCGCCAAGUAUGGUGCCAUUCCGAGUCCCGCGGACGAACUUCGCCCACGCCCCCCACCAAGGCUAUAGCCCACGCGUUUUUUGGCCUUUUUUCCGCUGGGGGGUCUUGGGACCCCGACCUUCGGGGGCUGAUUUUUGGGCGCGGCUGUGCCCGUGGCCUAUUUUUGGCACACCGAGGCCGCCCGCCAAGUAUGGUGCCAUUCCGAGUCCCGCGGACGAACUUCGCCCACGUCCCCCACCAAAGCUAUAGCCCACGCGUUUUUUGGCCAUUUUUCCGCUGGGGGGUAUUGGGACCCCGACCUUCGGGGGCUGAUUUUUGGGCGCGGCUGUGCCCGUGGCCUAUUUUUGGCACACAGAGGCCGCCCGCCAAGUAUGGUGCCAUUCCGAGUCCCGCGGACGAACUUCGCCCACGCCCCCCACCAAGGCUAUAGCGCACCCGUUUUUUGGCCAUUUUUCCGCCGGGGGGUCUUGGGACCCCGACCUUCGGGGGCUGAUUUUUGGGCGCGGCUGUGCCCGUGGCCUAUUUUUAGCACACGGAGGCCGCCCGCCAAGUAUGGUGCCAUUCCGAGUCCCGCGGACGAACUUCGCCCACGCCCCCCACCAAGGCUAUAGCCCACGCGUUUUUUGACCAUUUUUCCGCUGGGGGGUCUUGGGACCCCGACCUUCGGGGGCUGAUUUUUGGGCGCGGCUGUGCCCGUGGCCUAUUUUUGGCACACCGAGGCCGCCCGCCAAGUAUGGUGCCAUUCCGAGUCCCGCGGACGAACUUCGCCCACGCCCCCCACCAAGGCUAUAGCCCACGCGUUUUUUGACCAUUUUUCCGCUGGGGGGUCUUGGGACCCCGACGUUCGGGGGCUGAUUUUUGGGCGCGGCUGUGCCCGUGGCCUAUUUUUGGCACACGGAGGCCGCCCGCCAAGUAUGGUGCCAUUCCGAGUCCCACGGACGAACUUCGCCCACGCCCCCCACCAAGGCUAUAGCCCACGCGUUUUUUGGCCAUUUUUCCGCUGGGGGGUCUUGGGACCCCGACCUUCGGGGGCUGAUUUUUGGGCGCGGCUGUUCCCGUGGCCUAUUUUUGGCACACAGAGGCCGCCCGCCAAGUAUGGUGCCAUUCCGAGUCCCGCGGACGAACUUCGCCUACGCCCCCCACCAAGGCUAUAGCCCACCCUUUUUUUGGCCAUUUUUCCGCUGGGGGGUCUUGGGACCCCGACCUUCGGGGGCUGAUUUUUGGGCGCGGCUGUGCCCGUGGCCUAUUUUUGGCACACGGAGGCCGCCCGCCAAGUCUGGGGCCAUUCCGAGUCCCGCGGACGAACUUCGCCCACGCCCCCCACCAAGGCUAUAGCCCACCCUUUUUUUGGCCAUUUUUCCGCUGGGGGGUCUUGGGACCCCGACCUUCGGGGGCUGAUUUUUGGGCGCGGCUGUGCACGUGGCCUAUUUUUGGCACACAGAGGCCGCCCGCCAAGUAUGGUGCCAUUCCGAGUCCCGCGGACGAACUUCGCCCACGCCCCCCACCAAGGCUAUAGCCCACGCGUUUUUUGGCCAUUUUUCCGCUGGGGGGACUUGGGACCCCGACCUUCGGGGGCUGAUUUUUGGGCGCGGCUGUGCCCGUGGCCUAUUUUUGGCACACAGAGGCCGCCCGCCAAGUCUGGUGCCAUUCAGAGUCCCGCGGACGAACUUCGCCCACGCCCCCCACCAAGGCUAUAGCCCACGCGUUUUUUGGCCAUUUUUCCGCUGGGGGGUCUUGGGACCCCGACCUUCGGGGGCUGAUUUUUGGGCGCGGCUGUGCCCGUGGCCUAUUUUUGGCACACGGAGGCCGCCCGCCAAGUAUGGUGCCAUUCCGAGUCCCGCGGACGAACUUCGCCCACGCCCCCCACCAAGGCUAUAGCCCACCCGUUUUUUGGCCAUUUUUCCGCUGGGGGGUCUUGGGACCCCGACCUUCGGGGGCUGAUUUUUGGGCGCGGCUGUGCCCGUGGCCUAUUUUUGGCACACAGAGGCCGCCCGCCUAGUAUGGUGCCAUUCCGAGUCCCGCGGACGAACUUCGCCCACGCCCCCCACCAAGGCUAUAGCCCACCCGUUUUUUGGCCAUUUUUCCGCUGGGGGGUCUUGGGACCCCGACCUUCGGGGGCUGAUUUUUGGGCGCGGCUGUGCCCGUGGCCUAUUUUUGGCACACAGAGGCCGCCCGCCAAGUAUGGUGCCAUUCCGAGUCCCGCGGACGAACUUCGCCCACGCCCCCCACCAAGGCUAUAGCCCACCCGUUUCUUGGCCAUUUUUCCGCUGGGGGGUCUUGGGACCCCGACCUUCGGGGGCUGAUUUUUGGGCGCGGCUGUGCCCGUGGCCUAUUUUUGGCACACCGAGGCCGCCCGCCAAGUAUGGUGCCAUUCCGAGUCCCGCGGACGAACUUCGCCCACGCCCCCCACCAAGGCUAUAGCCCACGCGUUUUUUGGCCAUUUUUCCGCUGGGGGGUCUUGGGACCCCGACCUUCGGGGGCUGAUUUUUGGGCGCGGCUGUGCCCGUGGCCUAUUUUUGGCACACAGAGGCCGCCCGCCAAGUAUGGUGCCAUUCCGAGUCCCGCGGACGAACUUCGCCCACGCCCCCCACCAAGGCUAUAGCGCACCCGUUUUUUGGCCAUUUUUCCGCCGGGGGGUCUUGGGACCCCGACCUUCGGGGGCUGAUUUUUGGGCGCGGCUGUGCCCGUGGCCUAUUUUUAGCACACGGAGGCCGCCCGCCAAGUAUGGUGCCAUUCCGAGUCCCGCGGACGAACUUCGCCCACGCCCCCCACCAAGGCUAUAGCCCACGCGUUUUUUGACCAUUUUUCCGCUGGGGGGUCUUGGGACCCCGACCUUCGGGGGCUGAUUUUUGGGCGCGGCUGUGCCCGUGGCCUAUUUUUGGCACACCGAGGCCGCCCGCCAAGUAUGGUGCCAUUCCGAGUCCCGCGGACGAACUUCGCCCACGCCCCCCACCAAGGCUAUAGCCCACGCGUUUUUUGACCAUUUUUCCGCUGGGGGGUCUUGGGACCCCGACGUUCGGGGGCUGAUUUUUGGGCGCGGCUGUGCCCGUGGCCUAUUUUUGGCACACGGAGGCCGCCCGCCAAGUAUGGUGCCAUUCCGAGUCCCACGGACGAACUUCGCCCACGCCCCCCACCAAGGCUAUAGCCCACGCGUUUUUUGGCCAUUUUUCCGCUGGGGGGUCUUGGGACCCCGACCUUCGGGGGCUGAUUUUUGGGCGCGGCUGUGCCCGUGGCCUAUUUUUGGCACACGGAGGCCGCCCGCCAAGUAUGGUGCCAUUCUGAGUCCCGCGGACGAACUUCGCCCACGCCCCCCACCAAGGCUAUAGCCCACCCGUUUUUUGGCCAUUUUUCCGCUGGGGGGUCUUUGGACCCCGACCUUCGGGGGCUGAUUUUUGGGCGCGGCUGUGCCCGUGGCCUAUUUUUGGCACACAGAGGCCGCCCGCCUAGUAUGGUGCCAUUCCGAGUCCCGCGGACGAACUUCGCCCACGCCCCCCACCAAGGCUAUAGCCCACGCGUUUUUUGGCCUUUUUUCCGCUGGGGGGUCUUGGGACCCCGACCUUCGGGGGCUGAUUUUUGGGCGCGGCUGUGCCCGUGGCCUAUUUUUGGCACACAGAGGCCGCCCGCCAAGUAUGGUGCCAUUCCGAGUCCCGCGGACGAACUUCGCCCACGCCCCCCACCAAGGCUAUAGCCCACGCGUUUUUUGGCCAUUUUUCCGCUGGGGGGUUUUGGGACCCCGACCUUCGGGGGCUGAUUUUUGGGCGUGGCUGUGCCCGUGGCCUAUUUUUGGCACACGGAGGCCGCCCGCCAAGUAUGGUGCCAUUCCGAGUCCCGCGGACGAACUUCGCCCACGCCCCCCACCAAGGCUAUAGCCCACCCGUUUUUUGGCCAUUUUU